CCUACGGGGGGCAGCAGUGAGGAAUAUUGGUCAAUGGACGCAAGUCUGACCCAGCAACGCCGCGUGAAUGAUGAAGGUCUUCGGAUUGUAAAGUUCUUUUCUAAGGGAAGAAGUAAGUGACGGUACCUUAGGAAUAAGCCUCGGCUAACUACGUGCCAGCAGCCGCGGUAAUACGGAGGAGGCAAGCGUUAUCCGGAAUGACUGGGCGUAAAGAGCGCGUAGGCGGGAUAGCAAGUCAGAUGUGAAAUCCUAUGGCUUAACCAUAGAACUGCAUUUGAAACUGUUAUUCUAGAGUAUGGGAGAGGUAGGUGGAAUUCUUGGUGUAGGGGUAAAAUCCGUAGAGAUCAAGAGGAAUACUCAUUGCGAAGGCGACCUGCUAGAACAUAACUGACGCUGAUGCGCGAAAGCGUGGGGAGCAAACAGGAUUAGAUACCCUAGUAGUC
Molecule: ribosomal RNA, 443 nt
Filed under: uncultured bacterium
Lineage: Bacteria
Description: partial 16S ribosomal RNA
Rfam family: Bacterial small subunit ribosomal RNA
Source: RNAcentral